RNAcentral lists this ribosomal RNA (223 nucleotides) under uncultured Bacillota bacterium. RNAcentral's name for it is "uncultured Firmicutes bacterium partial 16S ribosomal RNA". It matches the Rfam family "Bacterial small subunit ribosomal RNA", at positions 28 to 233 of the family's 1533-position model. Lineage: Bacteria; Bacillati; Bacillota. The record is from RNAcentral.
GACGAACGCUGGCGGUAUGCUUAACACAUGCAAGUCGAACGAGACAAGAUGGAAGGAUCCUUCGGGUGACGGAAAUCUUAGAAAGUGGCGAACGGGUGAGUAACGCGUGGGUAACCUGCCCUAUGGAAAGGAAUAGCCUCGGGAAACUGGGAGUAAUGCCUUAUAAUAUAUGUUUGUCGCAUGGCAGAUAUAUUAAACGCUCCGGUGCCAUAGGAUGGACCCG